UAUUGGACAAUGGGGGGAACCCUGAUCCAGCAAUGCCGCGUGUGUGAAGAAGGCCUUCGGGUUGUAAAGCACUUUAAGUUGGGAGGAAAAGCGCCUGGUUAAUAGCGAGCGGUGUUGAGGUUACCAACAGAUUAAGCACCGGCUAACUCGGUGCCAGCAGCCGCGGUAAUACGGAGGGUGCAAGCGUUAAUCGGAAUUACUGGGCGUAAAGCGCGCGUAGGCGGUUAUUUAAGUCAGAUGUGAAAUCCCCGGGCUUAACCUGGGAAUUGCAUUUGAGACUGGAUGGCUAGAGUGUGGUAGAGGUGAGUGGAACUUCAGGUGUAGCGGUGAAAUGCGUAGAUAUCUGAAGGAACAUCAGUGGCGAAGGCGACCACCUGGGCUAAUACUGACACUGAGGUGCGAAAGCGUGGGGAGCAAACA
Molecule: ribosomal RNA, 420 nt
Filed under: uncultured bacterium
Lineage: Bacteria
Description: partial 16S ribosomal RNA
Rfam family: Bacterial small subunit ribosomal RNA
Source: RNAcentral